This 667-nucleotide long non-coding RNA is filed under the name Rattus norvegicus (Norway rat). RNAcentral's name for it is "long non-coding RNA NONRATT015131". The record is from RNAcentral. Lineage: Eukaryota; Metazoa; Chordata; Mammalia; Rodentia; Muridae.
GUGAUUGCAGCUGCAAAGGCAGGCUUCCCAGCCGUCGGGUAUGAACUGAAUCCGUGGCUGGUUUGGUACUCCAGAUACCGUGCUUGGAGGGAAGGCGUGCAUGGCUCUGCCAAGUUUUACAUUUCAGAUCUAUGGAAGGUCACCUUUGCACAGUACUCGAAUGUCGUUAUUUUUGGUGUGCCCCAGAUGAUUUGCCAAAGAACUGAAUAUUGAACUUUGAUUAGAUGCCACAGCUGGAGAAGAAACUUGAGUUUGAACUUGAGGAUGGUGCUAGAGUUAUUGCCUGUCGGUUCCCUUUCCCACACUGGACUCCAGACCACACCACUGGAGAGGGUAUCGACACUGUGUGGGCCUACGACAUGAGUGCUUGUAGAACACAAGGAAAGAGGGCCUGAUUGUGAUCAGCUCGGCCAGUAGAACUUGGCAGAGACAGUGGACUGUGGGCUUCCUCAUCUGAGACGCAGAGCCAGCUCCUUGACACUGAAUGACAAGUCACCGCUGCUCUCCUUGAGAAAAUGAACAGAAGCUCAGAGAAACAUUUAAGUUUAAACUCUGCUGCUUUUUAAAGGGCAGUUUCACACAGCCUGGGUUGGCCUUGAGUUUGCUGAUGACCUUGAACUUCUGAUCCUUCCACUUUUACCUCCCCAGUAAAAUGUGCUUUUAGUGG